AAAGUAGGGAGGAAACCAAAAACCUCCCUGCCGGGUGGUAAGGAACAAAGAACAGUUGUCACUAACUUGCCUGAUAAAAAAUAUGUCCUGAUAAAAGAGUAAAACGUGGAAACAAGAAUUUUGCACGAUAGAAAGUGCUGUAUGAAUCACCAAGUCCUGAGAACCUACUUACAUGCUAGGUGACUUCAUACAAAACACUAUGGAGAACGAGGAAGUUGAAGGAGCCAAGAAGAGGAGGUUUAUCCAACAGGACUGAUCUGAGCUGGACUCCAGGCAUAUUAGGAAGCAUCUUCUUUCCCUCCAUUCUACUCUUCCUGAGAGGAUAUGCCAUUAUCAUGGGAAGAAACUGCUGGAAUUAUUAUGGACUGGAAAAUACAUAGGCUAAAGUUUACAAACUUAUGAGGUUGACAUAGCAUUAAUGUCAACAAGAGCAUUAAUAGUGCAACAAAUGAAUACCAGCAAGAUCCUAGGCAAAACUGAAAAGUAACAGUUUCUUUGAUAUCUUCCUCCUCUUCCCUGACCACAAGAACCUCUUUCCUGCAAGCUGCCUUGUCAGCAUCUCCCACCUCAUCCAAGAAUGUCUUCCACUCAAGGAUCUAAGGUUUCCUCAUAUAAAAUUUCCAUUUUCUGAGACAUUUGUGUUGAUUUAGCAUUAAAGCAUCUGAUCCUAA
Long non-coding RNA from Manis javanica (Malayan pangolin), 671 nucleotides. RefSeq lists it as uncharacterized. Lineage: Eukaryota; Metazoa; Chordata; Mammalia; Pholidota; Manidae. The record is from RefSeq and is a predicted model, not a curated record.